CGUGAGGUUGGGUUGAUCCUUCCGCGUAACACUUGCCGAAGCCUUAGCAGCCCGAAAGGGUGCAGUUCCAACGACUAUAUCAUCAGAGGACUGCUUAAAUGCUAGUCUGCGCAGUGCAGGCAACACUAUCAAAUUGCGGGAACACCCUAAAGACCUCAACACCAAGCGCCGGUGGGAAACCACGGCGUGGCCGAGCUAAUAGCCCUGGGUAUGGUAACAGCUUGAGGUAUGAUGCUCUCUCGAGAGUUGAAAUGGGCAAUCCGCAGCCAAGUCCUACAGCGCUCGCGCUCGAGUGCCAUGGAUGCUGUUCACAGGCCAAAUGGUAGUGGGUGACCCCCGAUGGGGUUGCUUAAGAUAUGGUCGGGCCCCUCCAGAAAUGUUGGGGGUAAGUUUACGCCGGCGGGCAUCGCUCACAUUGAGCGUGUCUGUCCGAGAACAAACCGUUCCGUAGGUGAACCUGCGGAAGGAUCAUUAUCGAGGGGGCUCUGCCCCCGUCAAGAUACCACCCCUUGCUUUUGAGUACCGUCUGUUUCCUCGGCAGGCUCGUCUGCCAAUGGGGACCACAACCAAACCUUUCUGUAAUGCAGUAAACGUCUGAUAAACAAAAAAUCAAAACUUUCAACAACGGAUCUCUUGGUUCUGGCAUCGAUGAAGAACGCAGCGAAAUGCGAUAAGUAGUGUGAAUUGCAGAAUUCAGUGAAUCAUCGAAUCUUUGAACGCACAUUGCGCCCUUUGGUAUUCCUUAGGGCAUGCCUGUUCGAGCGUCAUCUAACCCUUCAAGCACUGCUUGGUGUUGGGCGUUUGUCCCGCCUCGGGCGCGGACUCGCCUCAAAGACAUUGGCGGCCUGUGUAUUGGCUUCGAGCGCAGCAGACUCGCGCCUCGACUCCUCUUGCACUAG
This 899-nucleotide unclassified non-coding RNA is filed under the name Hermatomyces sphaericoides. Its description in RNAcentral is "Hermatomyces sp. 5-2018 sequence contains 18S rRNA gene, ITS1, 5.8S rRNA gene, ITS2, 28S rRNA gene". The stretch from base 614 to 767 matches the Rfam family "5.8S ribosomal RNA". The record is from RNAcentral. Lineage: Eukaryota; Fungi; Ascomycota; Dothideomycetes; Pleosporales; Hermatomycetaceae.